GUUUAAGCACACUUUUUUUUUCCUCUCCUUGGAAGCACACUUGGCACUUCUUCAUCUCCAUGUGCUGUUGUCAUGCUGCCCAGGUUUCAGGCAUUGCUAACUGACUGCAAGGCAAUAGGACUGUAUCUGCAGGAUGAGGGCUGCCCAGCAGAGUCCAAGGGAGGCGGCUGCAUGCCAUCUGUCUGAGAGAAGACUCCAACAGAACCCUGGCAUAUUAGGAGGAUUUCUAAUAUGGAAAUAGGCA
RNAcentral lists this long non-coding RNA (244 nucleotides) under Chloebia gouldiae (Gouldian finch). RNAcentral's name for it is "Erythrura gouldiae (Gouldian finch) lncRNA (ENSEGOG00005006449.1)". Lineage: Eukaryota; Metazoa; Chordata; Aves; Passeriformes; Passeridae. The record is from RNAcentral.